Meleagris gallopavo (turkey) is the source of this 711-nucleotide non-coding RNA. NCBI's taxonomy places the organism in Eukaryota, Metazoa, Chordata, Aves, Galliformes, Phasianidae. The record is from RefSeq and is a predicted model, not a curated record.
UGUAGCUGGGUUUUUCUGUGUCUCAGCUCCAGCACAGCUGGCACCUCAGACCAGGCCAAAGUUAAAGGCUAGCUACAAAAAUAGUAGGAAUAAACUAAAGGAAGCAGAAUUACACCAGCUAUUGCUUCUCCUUUUUUAUUUUAUUGACUAGUUACUGGGCAUAGAGGCUACUGGAAUUUAAAAGCUAGUCUAUGCAGGUUGCCACUUUCCUCAGUUGUGUUCCUGCUCUUACUGCCUUACCAGCUGAUCUUUCCAUGAAUCAGCCCAAGGGAAUAAAAGACUGGUUUCUGUAAGGAAGAAUUACAGAAUACAACUAACAAUGAAUCAUUAAGGAAAGAAGUCUUAUUUGUGGUGAAAUUCUUCUUGGAACUUUCUUUGGACUGCAGUGACAUCUACAGUUAAAAUCAAGAAGAUGAACACUAAUAAGAACAGUGGGUCAUUUCUCUGGACUUUGCAGUCUUCCACAUUAUGCAUGAAUCUAUCCUACAGCCAUUUGGAGAAGCACAAGGAGCAAAUGAGCUAUGAGUCAUGGAAAGAAGAAAAGACAUGUCACAAAUAUUGAAAUUAAACGCAAAAGAAAAUGACAAAUGCUGGAAAUGUGAGUUGCCUAACAAGCGACAGAUAGUAGAACAAGGCAAAUGCUGGAAACAGUAAGUAAUACGCGAAGACAAACACUGGGAAGAAAACACGGUAAAAUAAAAGAAUGGAAAC